AAGCAUAUCAAUAAGCGGAGGAAAAGAAACUAACAAGGAUUCCCCUAGUAACGGCGAGUGAAGCGGGAUGAGCUCAAAUUUGUAAUCUGGYGGCCUUUGGCCGUCCGAGUUGUAGUCUGGAGAAGCGUUUUCCGCGUCGGACCGUGUACAAGUCCCUUGGAACAGGGCGUCGUAGAGGGUGAGAAUCCCGUCUUUGACACGGACUGCCGAUGCUUUGUGAUGCGCUCUCGAAGAGUCGAGUUGUUUGGGAAUGCAGCUCAAAACGGGUGGUAAAUUCCAUCUAAAGCUAAAUACGGGCGAAAGACCGAUAGCGAACAAGUACCGUGAGGGAAAGAUGAAAAGCACUUUGGAAAGAGAGUUAAACAGUACGUGAAAUUGUUGAAAGGGAAACGCUUGAAGUCAGUCGCGUCUCCUGGGACUCAGCCUUGCUUCUGCUCGGUGUACUUCCUGGGGUUGACGGGCCAGCAUCGAUUUUGACCGUUGGAGAAAGGCCUUGGGAACGUGGCACCCUUUGGGUGUGUUAUAGCCCUCGGUCGUAUGCGACGGUUGGGAUCGAGGACCGCAGCAYGCCUUUUUGGCCGGGGUUCGCCCACGUACGUGCUUAGGAUGCUGGCGUAAUGGCUUUAAGCGACCCGUCUUGAAACACGGACCAAGGAGUCUAACAUGCCUGCGAGUGUUUGGGUGGUAAACCCGGACGCGAAAUGAAAGUGAAAGGUUGGGACCUCUGUCGUGGAGGGCACCGACGCCCGGACCAGACCUUUUGUGACGGUUCCGAGGUAGAGCAUGCAUGCUGGGACCCGAAAGAUGGUGAACUAUGCUUGAGUAGGGUGAAGCCAGAGGAAACUCUGGUGGAGGCUCGUAGCGAUUCUGACGUGCAAAUCGAUCGUCGAACUUGAGUAUAGGGGCGAAAGACUAAUCGAACCAUCUAGUAGCUGGUUCCUG
This 942-nucleotide ribosomal RNA is filed under the name Gautieria morchelliformis var. fageticola. RNAcentral describes it as "partial large subunit ribosomal RNA". The record is from RNAcentral. Lineage: Eukaryota; Fungi; Basidiomycota; Agaricomycetes; Gomphales; Gomphaceae.